Molecule: long non-coding RNA, 2333 nt
Organism: Chroicocephalus ridibundus (black-headed gull)
Lineage: Eukaryota; Metazoa; Chordata; Aves; Charadriiformes; Laridae
Exons: 3
Source: RefSeq, a predicted model, not a curated record
GGCACGGCCGGGCCGGGCAGGGCAAGGCCUACGCGGGCGCGCCCGCCCGGCACCGCUCCGCGGCCUCCACACCCCCCCCCGGCGGCAGCCAAUGGCGGCGCUGGGCCUGCGCGGGCGGGCCGCGCUGAGAGCGAGGAAUGACCCUGUGGAGUUCCCUUCCAUGCUUUGGGCAAAAUCCUUCAGGCUUCAUUGCUUCUUGCGCCAUUGGUGGCCCCUGCCUCUUUCUCAGAAUCUUGCCUCUCCUUCCUGAGCUCUUGAUCUCAGUCUUCGGUUCCAGCAUUUUAACCCUUUUCUAGCUGCACCAUUACCACAACAUAUCCUCCUCAUCAGUGGGGUAAUUACUGCAACCUGUUCCUCCCUUGCUACACAAAGAAAGGCUAGCCAUCAGUGUCCAGCCUGAGAAUGUCCUACUACUGUCAAGGCUGCAAAGAAACUGAAAACAGAAUAAGAAGACCUGAAGCUAUAAUAAUUAUUCUUGCCACUACACUUCUGUGCAUUUUUAUAUUCAAGAGAAAGGAUAGCAGCAAGCAAUUAACAACAAGCCCUUACAGAAACACAUCAACAUGCUUUAGUUCACCUAUGAAGUUUACUAAACAGGAAUGUCACAUGGGCUGAAGAAGGGAAAGGAAACUGUAAAUGAGAAGAAAUAUACCCACAUCUGAUUAAAUACUGUAAUAAGUUAGUCCCUACAGCUUCUGUAAUUCUUCAUAUUUUUACCAGCGUAGUACAGAUACUAUCACUUCUAGACAUGUUCAGUAUAAUAAUAUUUGUCAAGCCCCGUGCUUCGCUAGAUAAUUUUUGUUUUAUGCGAAGGGAAUAGUAAGAUUUUUUUUCUUCUUGCUGAGUGUUAAUGGUGAAAAAAACAGGUAUCAAGGAAACAAUAAAGAGAACGUUUCUAUUUUAUGCUUUAGAGCAGGCAAUAAGAAUGAUCUAUGGACUGCAAUAAGUGAAGAGGGGUUUUUUUGGCUCACCUAACAUCUUCAAACAAGUCCCUGAUACCUAGUGCAAACAAACAUAUAUAAACUCGCACACCUCUUCAGCAACAUCCAAAAAGUUAAAAAAAAGGAUCUCUUUUUCAAUAGGGAGCAAUGAGACUUCAAGAAAGUAAAUACUGUGAAGUUACAUAGUUUUCCAUAUAACUGCUUUUACUCUGUCCUUUGGUGGCCGAAGGUAACAUUUGCCAAAUCCAUUAACGUACACAAUUUAGAACACUGGUAUUAUUAUGAAAUAUACUACUAAUUUCUAUCACUGUUUUACUGUUCAAUAGCUACAUGAGGUUUUAUUUUAGUUGUGUUGUAGCUGAGCCCGGAGGCUUUGCCUGGGUAUUGCCUUACCCACUGUACACACACAAAAGUCAGCCCCUUGCUCAAAACUCAGCUUUAUGUGCAUUUAAGAGAGACACAGAUACUCAGAAUGAUGGACAGAUUUGUAAAGGAUAAGUUGGUUUUACCUUAAGUGACAUAGUUCAGUUCAGUCCUGGAAACACGUAAUAUAUAUUGAACAUGACUGCUAGAAGAAGACUACAUGCUAUAUCCACAAAGGGAUUUGAACGCUGAGAGGUUCCUCUCUCAGGUACCUCGCUUCCCUUUUCUUUCUGUAAUAUGUUGCUAGUCAUCUCGCAGAUCCAGCAUGUCAGCCUUAGUGGUUGUGUCCCCAGGUGUUUCUGGAGGCUUUGUAGUUGCUUUCCCCGCAGCCCCCUAAGCCUGGCGUUUGUAGUCGGUCUCGCAUCGCUGUAAUGCCACAGCUGAGAUCUUUGCCUCCGGUUGCAUCUGGAGUUGUGCAUAAUCUUGUUGCCCAAAGGAAAAAGCUGUAGUUCUCCUUCCUCCUUGUGAGAGCUGUUCACGUUACAUAUAUCCUGAAAUCUCACCCUCUACUUGAAAGUCAGCACACAGGCGUGUGUAUUAUUUCUUCCUGUUGUUGCCACAGUGCUCACACGCUGCCACAGCACACAUAAGUGUAUGGGCAGCAACAAUUCAUUUUCUUCAUGCCAAGGCCAGCUCCGCAAGUUUUACUGGUAUAAUUAAUCCCAUCGGGGGAGGAGAAGGUCAUUUAAAAAUAAAAGCCAAAAUAGGGUAAGAGGGUGCAUGUAACUAUGUCGUUACAAAGAUGACACACCAAAAUGAUGGUUUUCCUUGCUGUAUGGGAAUAGCUAUCCCAGUAUAAAGCACCUUUCUACAAAUAUAACUACAGACUUCUUAGGAAGUUGAGACAGUAGGGAAAUCGUGUUGCUUUAGUUCUGUCAGGACAAUUAAAAUGGUACCUUUUUUUGACAGACAAGCCCCGAAUAACCUAUGGCAAUUUUAAAUUCCUUGAUUUGGCCAAUGGUUUUCCAC